CAACAGGGAUUGCCCUAGUAACGGCGAGUGAAGCGGCAACAGCUCAAAUUUGAAAUCUGGCUCUUUCAGGGUCCGAGUUGUAAUUUGCAGAGGGCGCUUUGGCGUUGGCAGCGGUCCAAGUUCUUUGGAACAGGACGUCACAGAGGGUGAGAAUCCCGUACGUGGUCGCUAGCCUUCGCCGUGUAAAGCCCCUUCGACGAGUCGAGUUGUUUGGGAAUGCAGCUCUAAAUGGGAGGUAAAUUUCUUCUAAAGCUAAAUACUGGCCAGAGACCGAUAGCGCACAAGUAGAGUGAUCGAAAGAUGAAAAGCACUUUGGAAAGAGAGUCAAAUAGCACGUGAAAUUGUUGAAAGGGAAGCGCUUGCAGCCAGACUUGCCUGUAGUUGCUUAUCUGGACUUUUGUCCGGUGCACUCUUCUGCGGGCAGGCCAGCAUCAGUUUGGGCGGUUGGAUAAAGGUCUCUGUCAUGUACCUCCUUUCGGGGAGGCCUUAUAGGGGAGACGACAUGCAACCAGCCUGGGCUGAGGUCCGCGCAUCUGCUAGGAUGCUGGCGUAAUGGCUGUAAGCGGCCCGUCUUGAAACACGGACCAAGGAGUCUAACAUCUAUGCGAGUGUUUGGGUGUCAAGCCCAGACGCGUAAUGAAAGUGAACGGAGGUGGGAACCCUUUGGGUGCACCAUCGACCGAUCCUGAUGUCUUCGGAUGGAUUUGAGUAAGAGCAUGGCUGUUGGGACCCGAAAGAUGGUGAACUAUGCUUGAAUAGGGUGAAGCCAGAGGAAACUCUGGUGGAGGCUCGCAGCGGUUCUGACGUGCAAAUCGAUCGUCAAAUUUGGGCAUAGGGGCGAAAGACUAAUCGAACUAUCUAGUAGCUGGUUCCUGCGA
This 878-nucleotide ribosomal RNA is filed under the name Ophiosphaerella taiwanica. RNAcentral describes it as "partial large subunit ribosomal RNA". It matches the Rfam family "Eukaryotic large subunit ribosomal RNA", at positions 66 to 963 of the family's 3401-position model. Lineage: Eukaryota; Fungi; Ascomycota; Dothideomycetes; Pleosporales; Phaeosphaeriaceae. The record is from RNAcentral.